UGGAACCGUGCAGGUCCCAUCAGCAGUGCCACUAAGCUGGCCCCCAGUGUCAGUGCCCUACCAGACUUCAUUGGCCAAAGUGGCCUCAGACUAUGUUCUUGGGGGCUCCGGGCAGAAGCUGCCGCUCAGGGAGGGGAAGCCACUUCAAGGCUCCUACCGAAACCUGGCACUGCCGCCACUUCCCUGCAGGGAGCCGCAUGUCAGGUGCUGACCUGCCAGCCCAGGCCAGGACCCUGCUCACGGCCACACAGGGUGCCCACCUGCUGCUGCCCCAUCCAGAAAACCCAAUUCCUCCACUUUACAGAUGGGAAACUGCAGCCCCUCUGGGCAGACUGGGCCAUGCACAGGACAGCAUGAAGGAAAAGCAGCAAGGUUAGAGGCAGCCAGAAAGACUAACCGGGUCAGACACAGCAGCAGGUCAGCCCACGCCGGCCGGGGCCUUUCCAGAAGCUGCUUGGCGAGGUGGUGUGGAGGUGACACUGGUGGACACGGAAGCCGAGCGCCAGGCAGACUCGCCACCACCACAAUCCCAGGUGGCAGCUGAGUCCACAUGCUCGAGGCGGCAUCACUGCGUCAUCCCCUGAAAGGGGAGCUCUUGGGAUUACUGUUAGCUGGAGCCUACGCAGGCCCUGCGGGACAAGCAGGGACCACCACCUGAGCCAACCUUUCCCAAAUCCACCCACCUGACGUCACCGGAGCAAGGCAGCCUGAGACAAGGUAAGCCAACGCCCACGAGCAUCCCCUGGAGCUGCCAAGGAGCUCCCCCAAGCCCCUCCCCUGCACUGCCCCUGUGUCCGGUCUGCUGAAGGAGGCCCGGAAGAUGACAAGGACCCUCAAGGGGGAGGCAGCCCAGGGCCCACGUUGGUACAGGGCCUCUCUCUCAGCAGGAGCCACCGUCAAGACAGGGCUGGCACCCAAGGGCCCCAGCACAAGCCGCAAAGGCCUCCCAGACUCACUCUCCCACAGUGUGCACACAAAGACAGGACCUUCACCCCGUUCACUCCUCGGCUGGAGACACUAGGUGUCCUGCCCCUAAUCUCACAAGAGCCACCUCAUAAACCCUGUAAGCUCUGGGAAGGGCAGCUGGGCACAGCUGAAAGCCCAGUCACCAGCCCGUGUCCUGGGUGGGACCGGGCAGGAGGGGCCAUCUCCUACUGCCGAUCAACCCGAGAGCCCUGGCUGGGAUCUGUCUUCCUUCACCAACGGGAGCUCUGGCCCCAGGGCCCUGCCCACCUCUGUGCACCCCACACUGCAGCAGGGAGCACCCUGCAAGGAGGAACUGGGCACCCUGCAGGGGUCUGGUGGAGACGAGGAUGCUACGGAGGCAGCUGCCCCAUGGGACUAGUAAAAGGGGUCUUGGGUGGGCUUCCCCGCAGAGAGGAAGCCCUCAGGAGACACCACAGUGAGCCAUGCUGGAGACCUGGAGGCCAGGCCCGUCACCUGGGGAGCUGGCCACUAACAGCGGGCAGACAGCCUCCCAGGACAGCCAGCACAGCCCCCCAUACUUCUGAGCUCACCUCCUCAUUUCCCCGCUUCCCGCGUUCCCAAGCACGGGAGGACCUGCCGGACCGGGCGCACCGUCUGUCCUAACACAGAUCAAGUCUGAGCUUCAACGCUUGCGCCGGCGACAGGCACACCCGGGCCUCCCCUCUCCAGCAGGAGGGCCCGGAGCAGGACGCGACGUCUUUUUCAACUGUAUCCCUACAAACGGUCAGCCCCUUUGCCCCUGCAAUUUAUCCAAGCUCAGGAGGAGCUUUCUAAAGAGAACACAGGGAGACAGUCGGCUGCCAGAGCCAGGCCCCAGGGGGAAAUGGCCCAAGUGUCCCUACUCUGCUCCUGGAAGCAGGCCAGGCUCACCACCGACGCUCUUCCCUGAGGGGCAGACAGUGUCUGCUGAGCAUCUGAGCCUCUGGCAGCUGCCCAGAGUCUGACAGUGCCGUGGGGUCCUGGCUCUGGAAGGCUCUACCCAGCUAACAGGGCCUGUGACACAGGUGGCACCCAGCAAGACCCACUGCAGCGGCAUGGCCCUCACAGCCUCCUCUGUUCCUGUCCUGGGAGCAGCCCCGGCAAAGACUCCUACCCGGAAGACUCCAGGUCAGGAGGGCGGGGUCCUGAGGAAGGUGAGGACAUCCGGGAGGGCUGUGGCCACCAAGGUGCUGCACGGCCUGGAGGGCUCCACACACCUGGGCAAACGGAAGCCUUCUGGGAGGAGCUGGCUCCCAGGCCCUGCCCUCCAAGCCACCCCAUCACAGUCGCACACACACACAGGCUUCCAGAUUGUCCACCCUCCACAGAGAGAAGUCAGGGAGGUGGGCAGGGGAUGGGGUCAGCCACCGACUCAGCCUGUGCAUGCCCACCCCUCCCAGCAGCACCCCUCUCCGGCCACCUGGCUGGCCUGAGUCUGUGGCCUGGCACUGCCUGAUAGAACUUUCAGCAUCUUCAGUGCCCAAAGGGCGCGACGACUAGCCCUUAAAAUGAGGCUGGAGCCCAAGGAAGCGGGUCUUUAGGCAGAACCACCGCACGGCAGAGCAGCGCACAGGACAGAUCAAUGUCUUCCUGCCUGGAGUGAGGCCUUUGGUCUUUUUUUUUUUUUGAGAUGGAGUCUCGCUCUGUCACCAGGCUGGAGUGCAGUGGCGCAAUCUUGGCUCACGGCAACCUCCAACUCCCCGGUUCAAGCGAUUCUCCUGCCUCAGCCUCCCAAGUAGCUGGGACUACAGGCACGCGCAACGACGGCCAACUAAUUUUUGGUUUUUUUUUGAGAUGGAGUUUCACUCUGUUGCCCAGGCUGGAGUGCAGUGGUACGAUCUCAGCUCACUGCAACUUCCGCCUCCUGGGUUCAAGCGAUUCUCCUGCCUCAGCUUCCCAAGUAGCUGGGAUUACAGGCAUCUGCCACCACACCUGGCUAAUUUUUUUUUCAUAUUUUUAGUAGAGAUGGAGUUUCACCAUGUUUGCCAGGCUGGUCUCGAACUCCUGACCUCAGGUGAUCUGCCUGCCUUGGCCUCCCACAGUGCUGGGAUUACAGGCGUGAGCCAUGCGGCCGGCCUAAUUUUUGUAUUUUUAGUAGAGACGGGGGGGUUUCACCAUGUUGGCCAGGAUGGUCUCGAUCUGACCUCGUGAUCUGCCCGCCUCGGCCUCCCAAAGUGCUGGGAUCACUGGCAUGAGCCACCGCGCCCGGCUGCCUUUGGUCUUUUUAAGAGAAAAAAGCUCCACAUUCCCACUCAGCCACUUUCCUGUCUGACCCCUGGAUAUUCCAGCCCUACUGGGAAACGCCAGCCUGUCCUGCAUACCUCAGAGCACUCAGUGUAGCUACCCAAGCCACCCUGCCCCAGGCCAAGCCCCGCCCCAACCACGUCUUUUCUUAAAUGCCACUGCAGGUCAGCUCCAUGUCCAGCCCUGCUUGAGGGGCUCUGGCCAACCUGCCUGCCCGGCGCAGCCCCCGUGCCUCCUGGGUGACUCCAGCACUGCACAGGCUUUCUGGAACCCCUGACAAUACCCACGCCACACCUCACACGGCACCCGUGGCUGUCAGCGAGGCGGGAGAGCUGGAGACCUGUGGCAGGCUCCUACACCAGCACUUAGCAUAACUCACGGCCACCAGCUUCCAACACACUGAUGUCACCUUAAAACACCGGCACAGGAUGAUGACCCACAAAUCCUCAAUGCCACAUUUCCUGUCCUCAGCCCCCAGAAGGCUGACAUCAGUGCACGGCACAGCCCAGCAGCCCAGGGGAGAUCCUGCUGUCUCACAGGAUUGGCACUGCGCCCAGAAAGCCUCUACAGAGGCAGGUCUAGGAGCCUGGCUGGGCCUGAGGCACGUGGUGAGAAGGCGAAGGUGAGCUUCCACUUCCUCAGAGGACACUCGAGGGCUCCUUCCACACCUGCCUAGCACCUCGGCUGCAUCCCCCCACCCCCAGAACAGGGCUGGGCAAACACACGGGCUCCGGAAGUAACCAACUGCCUGCGAGCCAGCUGCUUAAGGCUCAUGGGGUCAAGAUGACGGGUGGUCGGAGCUGUAGAAGGAAGCUGCUCAGGUGAGAUGGCCUGGCCUGCCUCCCUGGGAGGUGAGCCACAGGCAGUGUCAACUUAAGAAGCACCCCGCCCUGUCAGGCAGGGACGACCCCAAGUUUAGCUACACAGUUCUUUUGCUGCCAGGCGGUCCUUCAUUCUGGAAACCAAUCCUGACGUCUCAUCAGGUCCCCAACCCACUCCGCCCCCUUUGCCUUCUUCCUUCCACUUAAAGCUUCUGAAAGUACUACUUCUUAGCAACAGCAUCCCCGCCCCCUUCAGAGACUGCCCGACCACCCUAUCCAAAUCAAAAGACACAAAUUUUGACCCAGUCACAGUACAGGCUUAUUCCUUUCCGUGCUCACUAGCGUC
Symphalangus syndactylus (siamang) is the source of this 4377-nucleotide long non-coding RNA. RefSeq lists it as uncharacterized. Lineage: Eukaryota; Metazoa; Chordata; Mammalia; Primates; Hylobatidae. The record is from RefSeq and is a predicted model, not a curated record.